This 550-nucleotide ribosomal RNA is filed under the name uncultured bacterium. RNAcentral's name for it is "bacterial SSU rRNA". It matches the Rfam family "Bacterial small subunit ribosomal RNA", at positions 772 to 1324 of the family's 1533-position model. The record is from RNAcentral.
ACUGAAUAGAUACCCGGGUAGUCCACGCCCUAAACGAUGUCAACUAGUUGUUGGGGAUUCAUUUCCUUAGUAAACGUAGCUAAACGCGUGAAAGUUGACCGCCUGGGGAGUACGGUCGCAAGAUUAAAACUCAAAGGAAUUGACGGGGACCCGCACAAGCGGUGGAUGAUGUGGAUUAAUUCGAUGCAACGCGAAAAACCUUACCUACCCUUGACAUGGUCGGAACCCUGCUGAAAGGUGGGGGUGCUCGAAAGAGAACCGGCGCACAGGUGCUGCAUGGCUGUCGUCAGCUCGUGUCGUGAGAUGUUGGGUUAAGUCCCGCAACGAGCGCAACCCUUGUCCUUAGUUGCUACGCAAGAGCACUCUAAGGAGACUGCCGGUGACAAACCGGAGGAAGGUGGGGAUGACGUCAAGUCCUCAUGGCCCUUAUGGGUAGGGCUUCACACGUCAUACAAUGGUCGGAACAGAGGGUUGCCAAGCCGCGAGGUGGAGCCAAUCCCAGAAAACCCGAUCGUAGUCCGGAUCGCAGUCUGCAACUCGACUGCGUGAA